GCGGAUAAAAAUAGCGGCAGUAAAAAGUGUUAAGAGGUAUAAAGGCAUCAGCCAAUCACGCUCCGGAUUUUUGGGUUAUUUAAUGGUUUAUUAGAUGGGACUUCUCAUUUCUUAAGUGAAAGAUAACGAUGAGGAUGUAAGAGAACAUCGAUGCACUUGGGGUGCUGAUCAUCGUAACUCUGGUGACUGAAAUCGAAGUAAAACAUUGACAUAAGGUUAGAUUAAGCAGAUAACCACUGACCACCACUGAAGAUUCCAAAGUAAAAGCGCAUACCAAACAACACCAGAUUACAGCAUGAUUUCUGAAAAGUUUUUGAAACUGACUGAAAUUAGUACAUCAAAACAGGUAAUUUCAUUUUUAUUAUUUAAAAAAAAAUCGAAAGAAAGAAAUACAAAUUUUAAUAAAGUUUGUUG
Parasteatoda tepidariorum (common house spider) is the source of this 414-nucleotide long non-coding RNA. RefSeq lists it as uncharacterized. The record is from RefSeq and is a predicted model, not a curated record. Lineage: Eukaryota; Metazoa; Arthropoda; Arachnida; Araneae; Theridiidae.